RNA transcript from Vigna angularis (adzuki bean), 5140 nucleotides. It is a transcript of the gene named protein TRANSPORT INHIBITOR RESPONSE 1, with no coding region annotated. The transcript has 5 exons. Lineage: Eukaryota; Viridiplantae; Streptophyta; Magnoliopsida; Fabales; Fabaceae. The record is from RefSeq and is a predicted model, not a curated record.
ACCACCACCUAUUUAACCAUGGUUAAUUUCUAACCUUACCCGGCACACACAUACACACACAGCAUAAACAUAAACUCCUUAUCCUCUCUCUUUUUCUCUCUCUCUCUCUCUCUCUCUCUCUCUCCGUCUUUCUCUCACUCACAUCACGUUACACAUACUACUCUCGCUUCUUGUUAAUGGCGUCUCAGAUCUAGCAGUACGAGCGCUUCGCCGUUUCUGCUACUUUCUCAUCGUGGAAACGACACCGUCUGGGUGGCUGUUGUUAGUGUUUCCCUAUGCAGAGAAUGGCCUACACGUUCUCGUUUCCGGAGGAGGUGCUGGAGCACGUGUUCUCCUUCAUUGAGAGCGAGAGGGACCGGAACGCGAUCUCUCUGGUGUGCAAGUCGUGGUACGAGAUCGAGCGGUGGUGCAGGAGGAAUGUUUUCGUCGGUAACUGCUAUGCGGUGAGCCCUGUGAUGGUGAUCAAGCGGUUCCCGGAGUUGAGAUCCAUUGCGCUCAAGGGGAAGCCGCACUUCGCGGACUUCAACUUGGUCCCCGAGGGUUGGGGCGGUUAUGUCUGUCCCUGGAUCGCCGCCAUGGCCUGCGCCUUCCCCUGCCUCGAAGAGAUCAGACUCAAGAGGAUGGUCAUCACCGACGAGAGCUUGGAACUCAUCGCCAAGUCCUUCAAAAACUUCAAGGUGCUUGUUCUCACUUCAUGUGAGGGUUUCACCACUGACGGACUGGCCGCCAUUGCUGCCAACUGCAGGAAUUUGAAGGAGUUGGACCUGCAAGAGAGUGAAGUGGAUGACCUUAGUGGGCACUGGCUAAGCCAUUUUCCUGAUUCCUACACGUCACUAGUGUCACUGAACAUCUCUUGCUUAGGCAAUGAGGUCAGUUUAUCUGCACUGGAGCGUCUGCUUGGGAGGUGUCCCAACCUGCGGACCCUGCGCCUCAAUCGUGCUGUGCCCCUUGAUAGACUACCCAAUCUACUUCGUCGUUGUCCUCAGCUGGUUGAGUUAGGCACUGGAGUCUACUCAACUGAGAUGCGACCAGAGGUCUUCUCAAACCUGGAAGCCGCAUUUUCUGGGUGCAAGCAGUUGAAGAGCUUGUCUGGUUUUUGGGACGUCCUCCCAUCGUACCUCCCAGCUGUCUACCCCAUCUGCUCCAGGCUAACAUCGUUAAACUUGAGUUAUGCUAUUAUUCAGAGCCCUGAUCUUAUUAAGCUUAUCAGUCAAUGUCCAAAUUUGUUGCGUUUGUGGGUUCUGGAUUACAUAGAAGAUGCUGGUCUUUAUAACCUUGCUGCAUCAUGUAAGGAUUUAAGGGAGUUAAGGGUGUUUCCGUCUGACCCAUUCGGUUUAGAACCAAAUGUUGCAUUGACAGAAAAGGGCCUUGUCUCUGUGUCUGAAGGUUGCCCCCGGCUCCAAUCAGUUCUAUAUUUUUGUCGUCAAAUGUCUAAUGCAGCCCUGUUCACAAUUGCGCAGAACAGGCCUAAUUUGACUCGUUUUAGGCUUUGUAUCAUCGAGCCUAGAACGCCCGACUAUCUUACGCAUGAGCCACUUGAUUCUGGUUUUGGAGCCAUUGUAGAACAUUGCAAGGAUCUUCAACGCCUAUCUCUAUCUGGUCUUCUUACAGAUCGUGUUUUCGAGUAUAUUGGGACUUACGGGAAGAAGCUGGAGAUGCUAUCUGUGGCUUUUGCUGGAGAAAGUGAUCUGGGACUUCAUCAUGUGCUGUCUGGGUGUGAUAAUCUUAGGAAGCUGGAGAUCAGGGACUGCCCCUUCGGUGACAAGGCGCUUUUGGCAAAUGCUGCAAAGCUGGAGACAAUGCGAUCCCUUUGGAUGUCCUCCUGCUCAGUGAGUUAUGGAGCAUGUAAGCUACUGGGUCAGAAAAUGCCCAGACUCAACGUUGAAGUCAUUGAUGAAAGAGGACCUCCAGAUUCUAGGCCGGAUGAUUGUGCUGUUGAGAAGCUUUAUAUUUACAGGACUGUUGCCGGGCCAAGGUUGGACAUGCCUGGUUUUGUGUGGACAAUGGAAGAUAAUUCUUCGCUAAGGCUUGAGUGAUUACGCUGUGGAUUGAGUCGAGGAGUCUAAUGCCACUUUGAUUUGGGAAAUUGUCAAUGACAGCUUGCUAAAUCGGAAUGAAAGCAGUGUGUAAAAGGCUGCAAUGGAUCUUUGGUGGCCUCACCACCCUGAGAAGAGGAUGGGAUGAGUAAGGUUUAAAAAGUUUUGCUUGCGGAGGAAAAGAAUCAGGUUUCAGGUGGCUUUGGCAGGCAAAUUAGUGAAUGGCCCAAAUUUUGUGGCACUGGCAUUUUGAAAAAGCAAAAGAAAGAGGAAAGGCUAGGGUGGUAAAAAUGCCCUCAGGUGUGGUGACAUCUGCUUUUUCAUUCAAUGUUUAUCGGGGAAAGAGAGGAGAAGAUCCUCGACUGGCGAGCCACGUGAUAGAUUCGGUCACAUUGGAUGGUGUCCCUUGCUUUUUCUCCUUCAUUCAACUUCUCUUUUCUUAAACCAUCCACCGAAUACUGUAUUAAUCUAACAAAACAGAUCCGUUCCAAAGAACACAUCAAUUACAUUUUUGUAGAAGAAGAGGAUGUGAUUGUGAAAAACUUUUGUUUAUCAGAAAAAGAAACUGAAAAUCAGGAAAAAGAAGAAAAAAAGCAGGCAAGACAAGAAGAUUAUGUUGCAGGGAGAGUUUGGUCCCCACCACAGUUAUCCAAUCAAAUAAAGAAAAAGCAGGAAAAAGAAAAGGGCGAAGGUGUGCGAGUAGUAGUGAGACCAGGUUUCAUUACUUAAUGAUGGCCGCACGUUUCAUGUUCAUCACCAUCAUCAUUUUUAUUCUCUUAUUUUUAACUCUCCCAUAUCCUUCAUUUUCAUUUUACCAUUCUAUCAUUGCAUUAUUCCAAUUUCACCCUCCCUUACUUUUCAUUUCACCUUAUGUGAUUAACUAUUUUACAUCUGUCUCUGCUACUAAUUCAACUUUUCAAUACCAUGUUUCUUAAGUAAUCUGCCCAAUCUUCACAUAUAUUUUCAAAGCCCAUGUUAUGAGGGUGACAGUAAAAUUAGGGCAGCUUCCUCCUGCACCUCCAUAUAUUUGAAUUCACACUUUUAUACGGCUGUGAAAUGACAUAUUUAUCUCUAUCUUUUUCUUUCCAUCUCUAUCCUCAUUCAUCACAUACCUUUCUCCCUCCUUCUUCUUCCUUCACCGGCUCACCCAUUUCAAAUUUCAAAAUUAAAAUCUAAUUUUUCAAAUUUCAAAAUUAAAAUCUAAAAUUAGAGGAUCAAAAUUUUCAAGGAUAUGAAGUACAAGAUGAAAAUUAUGGAGCUGCAGGAAUCCAGUAAAAUUAGAUUAACACCCACGUCUUUAAUUCUAUAACUAAUGCCUUAUAUGUAACUAUAUUGGUAUCGUAGUAUUAAUAUGUCACAACCCUUAAAUGCUGUAGUGGAAGUCAGGUGGAAGGGUGAGAAUUUAGAGAUUCAGAAAGUGGAAGACAGGUGUGAACAACAAAAUGGACCGAUUGGUUUUGACAGUAGUACUUAAGUAAAAAUUUUAAAUCUAGUGUUACUUUUUGCAUGCAUUUUCUUUCCCAACUUUCUGAACUCUCAUUUUCUCCUCAUUCUCUCUUACUUCUCUCUAAACUAUCAUCUUUUCCUCCAUUGAUUUUCACGUUUUCCUUCAUCUGAUCAUUCAUCAGAGAGUGUGAGGGUUGCUGGUGGCAAGGGUUCUCUUUUCAAACGAUCAAAUUGUGGUUUGAGCUGUGAAUAUUGGCUUUGCGUGCUUGGUGGUGGGCAGAUUUUGUACUAUGAGCGGUUCGGUCUGUUAAGAGGUAAGGAAAACUAUUUAAUUUAAUUGUAUGUGAUAUGAUUGUGUAUGGAAUGAAUUGAUUUGAUGAUUGGUAUAUGAUUGUAUGAAAUGUAUGUUUCUGGGUUUUAGGGAAUUCUGUAUAAGUUUAUAAGAGUUCUGCAGAAUUAUGCAGAAAUGCUAGGUGUUCGGUUUUGACCGUUCGGUCAUGGUUAGUUAAUAAUUUAUCAGUAGAGUUAGCAUUUUAGUCUCAACCGUAUAGGACCUUUCGGUUUAGGGAGUGAUUGAUAUAUCAAGUGUUAAUGGUUAUGUCUUUAUGAUCAGUCUUAUUGGAGUAUGUAUUCUGGUUAGUGAUAGUUCCUAUAUUAUUAUUAUUAGACCUCGUCCUUGUACUAGGCUUAAAUACAUUGGUUAUACUGAGACAGUUGUUCCUGUAUAUGGUUGGACCAUAUUAUCCUAACGAUCGGUUUCUUAAAAGUGUUAAGUUUUAUUAAUAGAAUUUGAAUUAAACAUUAAGUGUUCGGUAUAUACUGUAACUAUUCGUCUUAGGUUAUUGUGAUUUGUUUCUUGUUAGUAUUUUAUUUUUAGUUCUAUAAGUCAAUUAUUCUCUCAUCCUUACUUAGUAUGAAAUAUCGUUCGGUCUUGCUUUGAGGAUAGUGGAAUACCGUUCGGUCUUACACUAAGUAUUAAAUCCUAUCAGAGUAUUAGGCUUUAGGUGAGCAUUCGGUUUUUGGAAGUAUUCGAUUUAAUUAUAGUGUUCUAUCCUUAAAUGUGUGUGGCUCAUGUUUGAGCCUUACUUGUUAAAUGACCGUUCGGUCAUAUUUGUAGGUUGUAUUGAUCCUUUUCGAUUUGGUUGUAGUCAGGGGUUGGAUUGAUUAACGUUCGGUCUUCUUCUAUGGAAUGUUAUUUGAUCUUCCAAUGCUGAUUUUAUGGUUUAGUUUUGGUUCCAUAUUAUAGUAUGGAUCUAUUAUGUAUGAGAAAUAUUAUUGGUAUUCAAGUAAAAGUUGAUAUUUCAAGUAAUGUGGAAGAAAAUUCCAAGGAGGAAUGUCUCAGUGUAAUGUGUAGUAAUGUGGUAAAGUAUGAAUACGAAUAGUGAAAUUUACGGAAUUCAUCUUGAUAUUCUGAUGAUUACCAGUUCUCAAGUAGAGAUGGGUAAUUCAUUGUGUGAGAAUGGUAGGAGGUCUUAGCCCAUUGGUUCUUGGGUGAGUUAUAACGGACUGGCAGGAGGUCCUAGCCCAUUGGUUCUUAGGAAGUUUAUGUAAAGUUUUAAAUUUUAUGGUUAUUUUGUAAUAACCGUAAGUUUAACUUUAUUAUUUCAGCAACUGUUCUAUUAUAUUGUUAAAUGAUGACACAUGUGUAUAGUUUUAUC